Non-coding RNA from Potamilus streckersoni, 78 nucleotides. Lineage: Eukaryota; Metazoa; Mollusca; Bivalvia; Unionida; Unionidae. The record is from the annotation of a GenBank genome assembly.
GGUGUGGUGGCCUAGUGGUUAGAGUUUCCGCCUCGAACACGGGAGGUCGCUAGUUCGAAUCCCGGCCAAGUCAUACCA